RNAcentral lists this ribosomal RNA (486 nucleotides) under uncultured bacterium. RNAcentral describes it as "partial 16S ribosomal RNA". It matches the Rfam family "Bacterial small subunit ribosomal RNA", at positions 28 to 507 of the family's 1533-position model. The record is from RNAcentral.
GAUGAACGCUAGCGAUAGGCUUAACACAUGCAAGUCGAGGGGCAGCACAAGGUAGCUUGCUAUCUGGGUGGCGACCGGCGCACGGGUGCGUAACGCGUAUGCAACUUGCCCUAUACAGGAGGAUAACCCGUCGAAAGACGGACUAAUACUGCGUAUGCUCACAACUUGGCAUCAAGUGGUGAGGAAAGAAAUUCGGUAUAGGAUAGGCAUGCGUCCCAUUAGCUUGUUGGUGAGGUAACGGCUCACCAAGGCAACGAUGGGUAGGGGAACUGAGAGGUUUAUCCCCACACUGGUACUGAGACACGGACCAGACUCCUACGGGAGGCAGCAGUGAGGAAUAUUGGGCAAUGGGCGCGAGCCUGAACCAGCCAAGUCGCGUGAAGGAUGACUGUCUUAUGGAUUGUAAACUUCUUUUAUACGGGAAUAACAAGAGUCACGGGUGACUCCCUGCAUGUACCGUAUGAAUAAGCAUCGGCUAACUCCGUG